CAAAAAUGACAUGAACGACGCAAAACUAUAUUUGGUGAGAGUAAAUGUUAUGAGAAAGCCUCUUUUUUUUUAAAAAAAAGGAAGAUGGUAUGAAAAUUUGCGUAUCCUGAUCAUUUCCACGCUUUCUUCCCGCGAAACUGUUUGCCAGAGCGGCUCUGUUUUCUCUUUUUGUCUUGCCGUGAUCUAGCUGCCCUGGCUCUCUUUGCAGCUGAGGGCAUCACCUUUUCCUGUUGCUUCUGUCUAUUACUCUUACCUCCAGUCUUUUUCUGUUUUACAGCAGUUCGAGCUUGGUACUUUCCUGUAGCCUCCCUGCCUGCUCUUACCAGUGCCAACCUUUCUUCCUUGGUUAGCUUCUUCCGCACAUGAGCUUCAAGCUUAGCAGGAUCCAGCCGUUUAACACUCAGUUGAUCAGAGCUUGGAACUUUAAACCCUUGUCGAGCUAAGGCAAUUUUAGUUUCCUUCUUUGCCUUCAAUUCCUUGAUCCUUUGAAAGUCUUCAUUAGAAAGAAUACCGUCUUUCAAUUCUGUGGUGGUGUGAUUCAACUUUUCUUCUGCCAAUCUCUUUAGAGCUCGAAGACUUGUGUCAGCAGCAAUAAGUUGUCCAUUGAAAUCAGAAAACUUCCUCUUACUAGCUUUAGAUUUGUUAACUUCUAUCGUGCCCCUGUCAUCACUUUCACAAGAACUCUUUGCCUUUCCAUGCUCAUCCUCCUCCUCCUCAUCAUCAUCGUCAUCGUCAUCGCUGAUAUUGCUGUCAUUUUCAUCAAUAUUGUUAUCACCAUCUCCAUCAAUUGAAUCAUCUUGUAAACCGUCAUUCUCACUUCCAGUAUCAUCACUGUACAUCGGAUUUUCUUCAUCAUCACUGGCAGUAAUCAUCUCACCAUUAUCACUAUCAUCAUCAAGUGCACUGGAUAUCAAAUUAUCAAUAUCAUCACCAUCCUCAUUAAUUUCAUUGUGGUCCUCCUCCUCAACAUCAUCAUCUUCAUCAUCAUCAUCCUCCUCCUCCUCCUGUAAUAACUCAAGGUCAGGUAUAUUGCUGACAACAUCAACUUCCCCAUAUGCUUUUGGCUUUGCCUUUGGAUCGCUAGGACGACCUCGAUCCUUCUUAACCAAUAGUGAAGGACAAACCUCUCUAAAUAAAAUCAUGAGUGACCUAGCUGCAACUGAAACUGCCUUCUCAUGUGAUUUUUUAUACAAUACAAGAUCUUGCAGCAAAUCUUCUGUCAUCAACAGAGGCAUUCGCAAACAUAUUUCCCUUAUCACAUUG
Molecule: unclassified non-coding RNA, 1263 nt
Filed under: Hevea brasiliensis (rubber tree)
Lineage: Eukaryota; Viridiplantae; Streptophyta; Magnoliopsida; Malpighiales; Euphorbiaceae
Source: RNAcentral